Arabidopsis thaliana (thale cress) is the source of this 236-nucleotide long non-coding RNA. RefSeq annotates it as other RNA. The transcript has a single exon. The record is from RefSeq. NCBI's taxonomy places the organism in Eukaryota, Viridiplantae, Streptophyta, Magnoliopsida, Brassicales, Brassicaceae.
UUUCAAGGAGAGAGAGAGAGCACGAGGACGCGACCUCUCUUUCGUUACGCGGCGAGAAGUACGUAGAGGCACCAAUCACCAUUAUAUUCCUUUUACUUGUUCAGAUUUUUUUUUUUUGCAAAUUAGAUUCUUCUUACUUUUUAUUUAGUUUAUUUCUUCUCUCGGCAAUUCUUGGGGAAAAAUGAAGUUACUAUUUCUCGCUCUAUUUAGUUUAUUUUGGUUGUAGGUUGUGUCGU